GCGUCGCAUGUGUGCUUGUUGGAGGUAGAGCUACUGGUUGGUUGAGCGGGACGAUAAUCUUAGCAACAUCAGCUAAACUCCGAAUGCCAGCAAUGUGUGUGCGGCAGUGAGACUGCGGGGGAUAAGCUCCGUUGGUCGAGAGGGAAACAGCCCAGAUCGUCGGUUAAGGCCCCUAAGGGUGUGCUCAGUGGGAAAGGAUGUGGGAUCGCGAAGACAGCCAGG
Molecule: ribosomal RNA, 222 nt
Filed under: Prorocentrum minimum
Lineage: Eukaryota; Dinophyceae; Prorocentrales; Prorocentraceae
Description: partial Bacterial large subunit ribosomal RNA
Rfam family: Bacterial large subunit ribosomal RNA
Source: RNAcentral